This 887-nucleotide long non-coding RNA is filed under the name Homo sapiens (human). RNAcentral describes it as "HSALNT0326990". The record is from RNAcentral. Lineage: Eukaryota; Metazoa; Chordata; Mammalia; Primates; Hominidae.
GCUGCCCUCGGUAGCAGUAGCAACCGACUGCGGUCCCCUUUCACGUUGUGGGGCCAGUGUUCUUUUGCUAUUUGCAGUAAACCUUGCCGCUGGUCACUUUGGGUCCACACUGCGUUUAUGAGGUGUAACACUCACUGUGAAGGUCUGCAGCUUCACUCCUGAAGCCAGGGAGAGCACGAACCCACCAUGGGGGAACAAACAACUCCAGACGUGCUGCCUUAAGAGCUGUAACACUCGCCGUAAAGGUUUGCAGGUUCACUCCUGAGCCAGCGAGACCAUGAACCCCCCAGAAGGAAGAAACUCGGAGCACAUCCGAACAUCAGAAGGAGCAAACGCCAGACACGCUGCGUUUAAGAACAGCAACACUCACCACGAGAGUCUGCGGCUUCAUUCUUGAAAACUUGGCAGAAUCUAGUGCUGGUCCUGGAGCUAAGUCUUGAGAAGACCUGGAGGCUUCCACUUCUGCGCUUUUGGAAAUUCUGAGCUUCCGUGUUAGAAGAGUUGCUACCCUUCUGGAGAUACUACAUGGAAAGACCUCAUGAAGAGGCCAUAUGGAAAGGGAGAAGCCUUGUCCAACCAUCUCCACCAAGGUCCCAGGCAUAUGAGAGAGCCAACUUGGACAGUCUGGUCCUGUUGAGCCCCCAGAUGCCCACAGUCUCAGUUGACAACAUGUGGAGCAGAAGAACUGCCCAGAUGAGCCCAGCCAACCCAGUGAAUCAUGAGAAUAAGGAAAUGGUUUUUGCUUAAAGCUUUUGCUUUGAAGUGGUUCCUUAUGCAGCAGUAGAUAUCUGAAACAGGGGGCAUUGAUUAGUGACAUCAAGGCCCUAGGGGAUGGCAGAACUCCCAGAUGGAAGAAAGCUGGAUGUCUGAGUCAUGGCAAGGAGAGC